This 425-nucleotide ribosomal RNA is filed under the name uncultured bacterium. Its description in RNAcentral is "bacterial SSU rRNA". It matches the Rfam family "Bacterial small subunit ribosomal RNA", at positions 954 to 1378 of the family's 1533-position model. The record is from RNAcentral.
GCUUAACGCGAAGAACCUUACCAAGGCUUGACAUGCAUCUCUAAGCGCGUGAAAGCGCGUGACCCUUCGGGGAAUUUGCACAGGUGCUGCAUGGCCGUCGUCAGCUCGUGUCGUGAGAUGUUGGGUUAAGUCCCGCAACGAGCGCAACCCUUGUGACUAGUUGCCAGCACGUUAAGGUGGGAACUCUAGUCAGACUGCCCAGAUCAACUGGGAGGAAGGUGGGGACGACGUCAGGUCAGUAUGGCCCUUACGCCUUGGGCUGCACACGUACUACAAUGCCCAGCACAAUGAGAACCGAUACCGCGAGGUGGAGGAAAUCUGCAAAACCUGGGCUCAGUUCGGAUUGGAGGCUGCAACUCGCCUCCAUGAAGUUGGAAUCGCUAGUAAUGCCGUAUCAUCUACGACGGCGUGAAUACGUUCCCGGG